Molecule: ribosomal RNA, 1427 nt
Filed under: Limosilactobacillus sp.
Lineage: Bacteria; Bacillati; Bacillota; Bacilli; Lactobacillales; Lactobacillaceae
Description: bacterial SSU rRNA
Rfam family: Bacterial small subunit ribosomal RNA
Source: RNAcentral
GCAGUCGAACGCGUUGGCCCAAUUGAUUGAUGGUGCUUGCACCUGAUUGAUUUUGGUCGCCAACGAGUGGCGGACGGGUGAGUAACACGUAGGUAACCUGCCCAGAAGCGGGGGACAACAUUUGGAAACAGAUGCUAAUACCGCAUAACAGCGUUGUUCGCAUGAACAACGCUUAAAAGAUGGCUUCUCGCUAUCACUUCUGGAUGGACCUGCGGUGCAUUAGCUUGUUGGUGGGGUAACGGCCUACCAAGGCGAUGAUGCAUAGCCGAGUUGAGAGACUGAUCGGCCACAAUGGGACUGAGACACGGCCCAUACUCCUACGGGAGGCAGCAGUAGGGAAUCUUCCACAAUGGGCGCAAGCCUGAUGGAGCAACACCGCGUGAGUGAAGAAGGGUUUCGGCUCGUAAAGCUCUGUUGUUAAAGAAGAACACGUAUGAGAGUAACUGUUCAUACGUUGACGGUAUUUAACCAGAAAGUCACGGCUAACUACGUGCCAGCAGCCGCGGUAAUACGUAGGUGGCAAGCGUUAUCCGGAUUUAUUGGGCGUAAAGAGAGUGCAGGCGGUUUUCUAAGUCUGAUGUGAAAGCCUUCGGCUUAACCGGAGAAGUGCAUCGGAAACUGGAUAACUUGAGUGCAGAAGAGGGUAGUGGAACUCCAUGUGUAGCGGUGGAAUGCGUAGAUAUAUGGAAGAACACCAGUGGCGAAGGCGGCUACCUGGUCUGCAACUGACGCUGAGACUCGAAAGCAUGGGUAGCGAACAGGAUUAGAUACCCUGGUAGUCCAUGCCGUAAACGAUGAGUGCUAGGUGUUGGAGGGUUUCCGCCCUUCAGUGCCGGAGCUAACGCAUUAAGCACUCCGCCUGGGGAGUACGACCGCAAGGUUGAAACUCAAAGGAAUUGACGGGGGCCCGCACAAGCGGUGGAGCAUGUGGUUUAAUUCGAAGCUACGCGAAGAACCUUACCAGGUCUUGACAUCUUGCGCCAACCCUAGAGAUAGGGCGUUUCCUUCGGGAACGCAAUGACAGGUGGUGCAUGGUCGUCGUCAGCUCGUGUCGUGAGAUGUUGGGUUAAGUCCCGCAACGAGCGCAACCCUUGUUACUAGUUGCCAGCAUUAAGUUGGGCACUCUAGUGAGACUGCCGGUGACAAACCGGAGGAAGGUGGGGACGACGUCAGAUCAUCAUGCCCCUUAUGACCUGGGCUACACACGUGCUACAAUGGACGGUACAACGAGUCGCGAACUCGCGAGGGCAAGCAAAUCUCUUAAAACCGUUCUCAGUUCGGACUGCAGGCUGCAACUCGCCUGCACGAAGUCGGAAUCGCUAGUAAUCGCGGAUCAGCAUGCCGCGGUGAAUACGUUCCCGGGCCUUGUACACACCGCCCGUCACACCAUGAGAGUUUGUAACACCCAAAGUCGGUGGGGUAACCUU